UUAGGAAUAAAAAUGAAUCGUUUCUACAAAAGAAGAAUAUAUACUUUUCUCUCUCUAAACGACAUCGUUUUCCAGGUCAAUCGUUCCAGACAGGCUGCCUCUGCAAAGGAUCGGAACCCAUGACAUCGUUAUCCAUCCCUCCUCAAAUUACCGUGAAGAGUCCUUCAGCAGGGGAAACUAGAAAAACGUAUACAAUCUGCGCAUCUCAGAAAUCUUCAAUUCUGAUCGGAAUCGGACGGUCCUCUACAUUAAGGAAUUUCUCCUCGCGGUUCCGCAUGAGUGUGGAUAAUGGAGGCUCUAAUCGGAUUGGUGCUGGAGAUGCCGUGAUCAUCGUCGACCAUGGCUCUCGCCGCCGGGAAUCUAACCUCAUGCUGAAUGAAUUCGUUGCUAUGUUUAGGGAUAAAACUGGUUACCCUAUUGUGGAACCUGCUCACAUGGAGUUGGCCGAACCGUCGAUAAGAGACUCAUUUGCAUCGUGUGUCGAACAGGGGGCCAAACGUAUCGUUGUAAGCCCAUUCUUUCUCUUCCCCGGUCGACACUGGCAACAGGACAUUCCUUCCUUAACAGCUGAAGCAGCAAAGGAUCACCCGGGAAUAUCGUAUAUAAUAACUGCUCCUCUCGGUCUUCAUGAACAGCUUGUGGAUGUUGUGAAUGAUAGAAUAAGUCACUGCUUAAGCCAUGCUGCUGGAGUUGUAGAAGAAUGUGAAGUCUGUGCAGGAACAGGCAAAUGCAAAUUUAAUUGACUUGGGAUGAAGGGCCUAUAACAAUGUGGAGAAGCUUCAGAAGGGGAUAAAAAGGGUUUCCAGAUUGUUUUUUAACUGGAGGCUCGAGCAACGCCGACGUUGUUUGUGAAGUCUGAAUUUCUCACGGCUGACUUGUUCAUUGGGUUAAAACAAAUGUCACACAAUUGUUGUCUUGCUGCUGUAAAAGUGCGAUUGUGAUAAGUGCUCAUAGUUUUCAAAAUACAUUUUCAAAUUUAGCGUAUGAAAUACAAUCUAUCUAUCAUCAAAAAUCUGUUUUACUCAAUUUCAAACUCGACAAAACUUUUCCUCUGUUU
This is an RNA transcript of Cucurbita maxima (winter squash), 1057 nucleotides long. It is a transcript of the gene named sirohydrochlorin ferrochelatase, chloroplastic-like, with no coding region annotated. The transcript is spliced from 7 exons. The record is from RefSeq and is a predicted model, not a curated record. Lineage: Eukaryota; Viridiplantae; Streptophyta; Magnoliopsida; Cucurbitales; Cucurbitaceae.